This is a long non-coding RNA of Prosopis cineraria, 1327 nucleotides long. RefSeq lists it as uncharacterized. The transcript is spliced from 6 exons. Lineage: Eukaryota; Viridiplantae; Streptophyta; Magnoliopsida; Fabales; Fabaceae. The record is from RefSeq and is a predicted model, not a curated record.
UUUCCCAUAAUAUCUCUCAUCGGAUUUCCCGAAAUUUCUUCAAAGCCAUCCGCCCAGAUCAAACCUAAAACCAAUGGCCUGCUUGUGGCUUGCCUUCAAUUUUCUACUUUCUUCCUUCAAGUUUUCUCUUUGAGUCAUUUCUUCAAGAAAGUUUAAACUAUAAAAAAUUUUAAAAAAAUCUUUUGCUUCUUGUGAUUUCUUGUGCCGCUAGCUUUGCUUCCAAGUUUAAUUUCUUUUGCUCAUCAGUUUAUUUUCUUCCCAAAAAAAAAAAUCCUUCUGCUUGUUGUGAUUUCUUGUGACGCUUUCUGCAGAUUUCUUUUGACUGUCAGUUUCUUUUCUUCAAAAAAAAAAAUCCUACCUGUUGUAAUUUCUUGUGACACCUCAAAUCUUCUUUCAAAUUUAUUUUCAUCAUCAGUUUAUUUUCUUCUGGAAAAAAAAAAGGAAAUAGAAAAGGAGAGGAAGCUGAUAUGGCUUUGAAGAAGUUCGAUCUUUCAAAGAAGCUAACAAAUCUGCCGAUGAUCUCGCUCUCGCCUUAGUCUCGUUAAGUUCUUCAUCAGGAUUGUUCUUGCCUGGUUUUCUAGUUUGUUUUUCCAUUCCUCUUGCUACCAAAAGGGGGGAAAGAAAGAAGAUAAAAGAAGAAAAGAAGUUGGAUCUUUGCAGAUGCUGUGACGUCCAUAUCAGAGUCUCCUUCACGUUAAACUGCUUUUGUCCCUCAACUACUGUCAGAGUACGGUUGAAAUCUUCAUAAAAAAACUGCACAGGAGACCCAAUUCAGUGCCUCGCAGGGAAUCAAUUUCUGUCUCCGAUCUUCUCGUUAUAAGCCUUGGUCAACGUAGCACAGUAGACCCAUUAGAGUGCCCUCGGCAAGGAAUCAAAUAUCUGUCUCCGGUCUUCUUGUUACGAUGUACGAUGAACUACCUCACUACAAUUAUCCCACUAGAAUUCAGGAGAAGGAGCAGCUAAGAAAAAAGAAGAAAAUAGAGAAGGAGAGGGAGCUUAUAUUGCUUUGAAGAAGUUUGAUCUUUCAGGGAAGCUAAUAAAUCUGCCAAUUAUCUCGCGCUCGCCUUAGUCUUGUAAAGUUCUUCAGGAUUGUUCUUGCCUAGUUUUCUAGUUUGUUUUUCCAUUCCUCUUGUUACCCAAAAAGAAAAAAAGAAAAGAAGUUUGAUCUUUGAAGACGCCGUACGUUCAUAUCAGGUCGAAAAAAUAUUUCCAUUCUCGUAGGUUCCGUUACGUUAAACUGCUUUUGUCCCUCAAGCAUUGUCAGAGUACGGUUGAAAUCUUCAUAAAAAAGUGGUAAGACUAAGUAUUCAUCUUUAAUAUAAUUUUA